AAUAAAUGCAGGUUUUGUUUAUAUCUCACGUUUGACCGUUCGUUCGUUUUAUUUGAAAUUUUUUUACAAUUAACAUUUUUAUUGUUAUUAGAAGAGAAAACGUGAAUAAUACUUUAUGUGUGACUAACUUAUUUUAAUUUUCUCAUAAUUUUUUUAAAUAAGACGGAUGGUCAAACGUUGGACACGGAUUCCCACGACUAUAUUUAUU
Molecule: non-coding RNA, 208 nt
Organism: Oryza meridionalis
Lineage: Eukaryota; Viridiplantae; Streptophyta; Magnoliopsida; Poales; Poaceae
Source: Rfam